AGUCCAAUGGGGGUUUUCCCACCCAGAGAGACGCCAUCCUAUCCAAGUUGUGCUGUGGUCACGUCACCGUAACAAACCUGUGAGUCUGGUGUGCUGUAAGGGCACUGAACUUGGUGGGCAUUUGGAAAACUGUAUUUGCAGCUGUUCCUGGGCCUACAUCAAAGACCCC
RNAcentral lists this long non-coding RNA (169 nucleotides) under Buteo japonicus. RNAcentral's name for it is "lncRNA (ENSBJAG00000002734.1)". Lineage: Eukaryota; Metazoa; Chordata; Aves; Accipitriformes; Accipitridae. The record is from RNAcentral.